GACGAACGCUGGCGGCGUGCUUAACACAUGCCAGUCGAACGGAAAGGCCCUGCUUGCAGGGUACUCGAGUGGCGAACGGGUGAGUAACACGUGGGUGAUCUGUCCUGCACUUCGGGAUAAGCCUGGGAAACUGGGUCUAAUACCGGAUAGGAGCCAUUUUUAGUGUGAUGGUUGGAAAGUUUUUUCGGUGUAGGAUGAGCUCGCGGCCUAUCAGCUUGUUGGUGGGGUAAUGGCCUACCAAGGCGGCGACGGGUAGCCGGCCUGAGAGGGUGGACGGCCACAGUGGGACUGAGAUACGGCCCAGACUCCUACGGGAGGCAGCAGUGGGGAAUAUUGCACAAUGGGCGCAAGCCUGAUGCAGCGACGCCGCGGGGGGGAGGACGGCCUUCGGGUUGUAAACUCCUUUCGCUAGGGACGAAGCUUUUUGUGACGGUACCUAGAUAAGAAGCACCGGCUAACUACGUG
RNAcentral lists this ribosomal RNA (465 nucleotides) under uncultured bacterium. Its description in RNAcentral is "partial 16S ribosomal RNA". It matches the Rfam family "Bacterial small subunit ribosomal RNA", at positions 28 to 507 of the family's 1533-position model. The record is from RNAcentral.